RNAcentral lists this ribosomal RNA (407 nucleotides) under uncultured bacterium. Its description in RNAcentral is "partial 16S ribosomal RNA". It matches the Rfam family "Bacterial small subunit ribosomal RNA", at positions 30 to 526 of the family's 1533-position model. The record is from RNAcentral.
AUUGAACGCUGGCGGCAAGCCUAACACAUGCAAGUCGAACGGAGUGGCGGACGGGUGAGUAAUGUCUGGGAAACUGCCUGAUGGAGGGGGAUAACUACUGGAAACGGUAGCUACUACCGCAUACUACCCGUUGAGCCUAGGUCGGAUUAGCGAGUUGGUGGGGUAAAGGCCUACCAAGGCGACGAUCCGUAACUGGUCUGAGAGGAUGAUCAGUCACACUGGAACUGAGACACGGUACAGACUCCUACGGGAGGCAGCAGUGGGGAAUAUUGGACAAUGGGCGAAAGCCUGAUCCAGCCAUGCCGCGUGUGUGAAGAAGGUCUUCGGAUUGUAAAGCACUUUAAGUUGGGAGGCGUUACCAACAGAAUAAGCACCGGCUAACUUCGUGCCAGCCGCCGCGGUAAUAC